GAAAUGUAUCACUGUGCUUGGGGACUGGAGUACCACAAUGAUAUAAACAACAUAGGGCCCUGUACAAAAACCCAAAGAAUGAAAAAAGACAAUAUAUUUCAGGGAAGAAAGGAGUUUCAGAAGAAAAUAUGAUUCUGGAUAUCCUCAUGGGGCUGUACAUGUGUAUAAUUAGAAUAUAUAUCCGUGUUUUCAUCUCCUGUUUUCACAACACUUUUGAAUACCAUGAAGAAAGCGUUAUUUAUUGGCGUAAGUAUUAGCAGUGUGUGGACAGAUAAGCUUGUAUUUGGAAGUGGGACCGAUCUCACAGUUGAACCAAACAAUCAAAAAAGUUCUAACCCAGAAGUUAUUGUGAUGAAAUCAAAGAAAUGGAAAGAUGACAGCAAAGGGAAAGCAGCUUGUUUGGCAAGGAAUUUCUAUACAAAGGACAUCAGCUUGGAGAUGUCUCCUAAUGAGGUCGUAUAUGAACCAAGUACAUCCAUUUUGACAUCAGAGUACUUCUACGAUACUAUUAAGGUGGUUGAUGUAACAAAAGAUCAAAAGGUGACCUGCAGCGCCAAAUUCGACGACAAGACUAUUACAGAUAACAUCACAUUGUCAGAGGAGGCUGAAGAACAAGGAACAGUGAAGGUUUGCAACACCACAGACACCUCUGUACAAGCAGAUACCAAAGUGGAGAAAGCAAACAUGCUGUCUAUGGCUGUAUUGGGUUUGAGAGUCCUGCUGGCAAAAAGUAUCGCCUUCAAUACACUCAUGAGUAUCAAGUUGUUUCUUUUCUGAGACAGCGGGGAAGCAAGGCAACAGCAAUCAGAAGAACAACAGGAGGAAGUGUGUACCAGCAGCACAAGGGGGUGAACAGCCAGUGUCAAGUGUGCUGAUAAUAACCUACCAGAACACAACACAGCACCUUCUCCUUAGGACAUUUUAUACUAUUGAAUCCUGCCUGCUUGUUUAUUUAGUUUUAACAGUUGUAACUGCUUUUGCUAUUUCUUUCUCUCUGUGAACCGAGGAGAGUGUAUUUUUCCUCAUCCCACUGAUAAGUAGAAAUUGAUCUAGGCUUUGCAUCCAACCUGCUUCAAUAGUUUUGAAAACUCCAAUCCUCACUAUAGAUAUUUCACUCUGUUAGAAGACAUUUUACAGGCAUGUUACAUUACUGUCCGUAGAACUGAUGUAUCGCUGCUGAGAGAAUUUGGGCACAGUAGAUGCUGUUUAUAGACUUAAUGUUGUUUAGAUAGCUUUAAUAACAUUAGUUUUCUAAUGUAGAUGAGAAGACCUGUGUUGGAUCUGAAGUGAUUCAGUUCAACCAGAUAAUGUUGUUGAGCAUUUCUUUAUUAAACCUGUAUUUCCUCUGCAAAGUGUAUGACAUAUACAUCGUAGUAGUAGUUGAUGUAGUAGUGACCAAAUUAAAGUCUUUCUAAACCAAAA
Calidris pugnax (ruff) is the source of this 1422-nucleotide non-coding RNA. Lineage: Eukaryota; Metazoa; Chordata; Aves; Charadriiformes; Scolopacidae. The record is from the annotation of a RefSeq genome assembly.